This is a small nuclear RNA of Schistocerca cancellata (South American locust), 106 nucleotides long. The record is from RefSeq and is a predicted model, not a curated record. Lineage: Eukaryota; Metazoa; Arthropoda; Insecta; Orthoptera; Acrididae.
GUACUCGUUUCAGUGUACGUGUACUGAAAUUCAAAUGGUACACAGACAAUUAGCGUGGCCCUUGCUCAAAGAUGAGACACAAAAUCGUUAUGUAUUCCACGUUUCA